UUAGUGGCGGACGGGUGAGUAACGCGUGGGUAACCUGCCUUGUACAGGGGGAUAACAACCGGAAACGGUUGCUAAUACCGCAUAAGCGCACAGUGCUGCAUGGCACAGUGUGAAAAGAUUUAUCGGUACAAGAUGGACCCGCGUCUGAUUAGCUAGUUGGUGAGGUAAUGGCUCACCAAGGCAACGAUCAGUAGCCGGCUUGAGAGAGUGAACGGCCACAUUGGGACUGAGACACGGCCCAAACUCCUACGGGAGGCAGCAGUGGGGAAUAUUGCACAAUGGGGGAAACCCUGAUGCAGCGACGCCGCGUGAGUGAAGAAGUAUUUCGGUAUGUAAAGCUCUAUCAGCAGGGACGAUAAUGACGGUACCUGACUAAGAAGCCCCGGCUAACUACGUGCCAGCAGCCGCGGUAAUACGUAGGGGGCAAGCGUUAUCCGGAUUUACUGGGUGUAAAGGGAGCGUAGACGGCUAGAUAAGUCAGAUGUGAAAACCCAAGGCUCAACCUUGGGACUCAUUUGAAACUAUCUAGCUAGAGUGCAGGAGAGGUAAGUGGAAUUCCUAGUGUAGCGGUGAAAUGCGUAGAUAUUAGGAGGAACACCAGUGGCGAAGGCGGCUUACUGGACUGUAACUGACGUUGAGGCUCGAAAGCGUGGGGAGCAAACAGGAUUAGAUACCCUGGUAGUCCACGCUGUAAACGAUGAAUACUAGGUGUCGGGGACCUUCCGGUCUUCGGUGCCGCCGCUAACGCAUUAAGUAUUCCACCUGGGGAGUACGUUCGCAAGAAUGAAACUCAAAGGAAUUGACGG
RNAcentral lists this ribosomal RNA (806 nucleotides) under uncultured bacterium. RNAcentral's name for it is "bacterial SSU rRNA". It matches the Rfam family "Bacterial small subunit ribosomal RNA", at positions 92 to 916 of the family's 1533-position model. The record is from RNAcentral.